AUGAUUGAACACUUGAGUGAUUAUAUGUCUAGAGUUAAAGGUGAACUUAAACUUAUUAGUAAACAUGCUUCUAUGGUUACCACUCAAGUAGAACAAGUACUUAAAGCUCAGAAUGAUUUGCUCAGUGAAUUAAAUAAUAAGAAAAAUGACAAUGCUGUUAGAGUUGUAACUAGAGGGGGUAAAAUUACUCAGGAACCUUUGUAUCCCGAGGGCCACCCUAAGAGAAUUGAGCAAGAUUCUCAGAGAACUAAUGUUGAUGCACCUAGUUCUUCUAAGAAGAAGAAAAAUAAAAAUGAUAGGACUUUGCAUGCUUCUAGUGAACCUGUUGUUGACAUACCUGAGAAUCCCAAUGAUAUUUCUAUUUCUGAUGCUGAAACACAAUCUGGUAAUGAACAUGAACCUAGUGAUAAUAUUAAUGAUGAUGUUCAUGUUGAUGCUCAACCUAGGAAUAACAAUGAUGUAGAGAUUGAACCUGCUGUUGAUCUUGAUAACCCACAAUCAAAGAAUCAACGAUAUGAUAAGAGAGACUUUGUUGCUAGGAAGCACGGUAAAGAAAGAGAACCAUGGGUUCAGAAACCCAUGCCUUUUUCUCCUAAACCAUCCAAGAAAAAGGAUGAUGAGGAAUUUGAGCGCUUUGCUGAAAUGAUUAGACCUAUCUUUUUGCGUAUGCGCUUGACUGAUAUGCUUAAAAUGAAUCCUUAUGCUAAGUACAUGAAAGAUAUUGUCACAAAUAAAAGAAAGAUACCGGAAGGAGCUCAAUUAUGA
RNAcentral lists this ribosomal RNA (765 nucleotides) under Triticum aestivum (bread wheat). RNAcentral describes it as "partial small subunit ribosomal RNA". The record is from RNAcentral. Lineage: Eukaryota; Viridiplantae; Streptophyta; Magnoliopsida; Poales; Poaceae.